RNAcentral lists this ribosomal RNA (379 nucleotides) under uncultured cyanobacterium. RNAcentral's name for it is "bacterial SSU rRNA". It matches the Rfam family "Bacterial small subunit ribosomal RNA", at positions 376 to 770 of the family's 1533-position model. Lineage: Bacteria; Bacillati; Cyanobacteriota. The record is from RNAcentral.
CGAAAGCCUGACGGAGCAACGCCGCGUGGGGGAAGAAGGUUCUUGGAUUGUAAACCCCUUUUCUCAGGGAAGAAGUUCUGACGGUACCUGAGGAAUCAGCCUCGGCUAACUCCGUGCCAGCAGCCGCGGUAAUACGGAGGAGGCAAGCGUUAUCCGGAAUUAUUGGGCGUAAAGCGUCCGCAGGGGGCGCAUCAAGUCUGCUGUCAAAGCUCGGAGCUCAACUCCGACCCGGCAGUGGAAACUGGGGAGCUAGAGGGCGGCAGGGGCAGAAGGAAUUCCCGGUGUAGCGGUGAAAUGCGUAGAUAUCGGGAAGAACACCGGUGGCGAAAGCGCUUUGCUGGACCGAACCUGACGCUGAGGGACGAAAGCUAGGGGAGCG